RNAcentral lists this ribosomal RNA (260 nucleotides) under uncultured Peptococcaceae bacterium. Its description in RNAcentral is "partial 16S ribosomal RNA". It matches the Rfam family "Bacterial small subunit ribosomal RNA", at positions 1123 to 1382 of the family's 1533-position model. Lineage: Bacteria; Bacillati; Bacillota; Clostridia; Eubacteriales; Peptococcaceae. The record is from RNAcentral.
AGGUAAUGCUGGGCACUCUAAGGAUACUGCCGGUGACAAACCGGAGGAAGGUGGGGAUGACGUCAAAUCAUCAUGCCCUUUAUGACCUGGGCUACACACGUGCUACAAUGGCCUAUACAAAGGGUUGCGAAGCUGUGAAGUGGAGCCAAUCCCAAAAAGUAGGUCUCAGUUCGGAUUGUAGGCUGCAACUCGCCUACAUGAAGUCGGAAUCGCUAGUAAUCGCGGAUCAGCAUGCCGCGGUGAAUACGUUCCCGGGCCUU